AAGUUUAUAUAAAUGAUUUGUACAGUUGUGUUAUCAAGUAGUGUUAUUGGUGAACUCGAUGGUGAUCGCACGGGCACUGGCGCCGUCGCAGCACCAGAGAAAUCAGUUAAGAACAACAAAAACAACAACAACACAUCGUUGUCGCAAGGAAAAGUAGACGAAAUUGAUUGCUCUAUGUCAGCCUUGCAAUUAUCUUUUGGUGUCCUUGAAAUUGCCGAAUCGCCAUUAGUACGUGUUCGCAAUCAGCUGAAAGAAUUGAUUGGCAAACAAAACAAAUUCUACAUUGAUGUGUCCAAGGAGAAAUAUAAGCUGGAUUGCAGCGAAGUAUCUAAACUAUACGAUAUGAUGAGCAACGUGAAGCUCUACAAAGAUAAACUGAUUAAAAUCAAAAAGGAUAUGCAGAGCAUUUAUCAGCGUUCCAAAGUCAUCAAGAAACGAGCUGCACACAUCGCAGCCUGUAAGCAACGCGAACACCAGCGCAAAGUCGAAAAGCAACAGCACGAGGAGUCGCUCAUUGGCAAUCCGUUGCCAUAGGGCCAUAGAUAUAACAAGCUUUAUAGUUACUUAUAUAUAUUAAAACUAGUUAUAAUCGGGCAGUACUUAAACAUAAUGAGUACUGCCAAGGCUGACAAGACUCUAAGCUAAGAGCUAAAUAAACAUUACAUCCAAAACGAAUACACAUGAUAAAGGACAAUUUACAAACAAGAGAAUAAAAAUACAUUUUCUUUGUACCUCUUCUGUUUCACGAUCUGCGGCGCAUAAACCUAGCAAAAGCAUGCACUAGUGUAACAAAAAUAUUGGAUGUGAGAGGGAUUUGUUGCUAGCAUUACUAAAAUUAGAGUACAAUUACAUAUAAUAAUUAUAAUUACAAUCGAGAU
RNAcentral lists this unclassified non-coding RNA (878 nucleotides) under Drosophila mojavensis. Its description in RNAcentral is "GI11582". The record is from RNAcentral. Lineage: Eukaryota; Metazoa; Arthropoda; Insecta; Diptera; Drosophilidae.